RNAcentral lists this ribosomal RNA (497 nucleotides) under uncultured bacterium. RNAcentral describes it as "partial 16S ribosomal RNA". It matches the Rfam family "Bacterial small subunit ribosomal RNA", at positions 28 to 507 of the family's 1533-position model. The record is from RNAcentral.
GAUGAACGCUGGCGGCGUGCCUAAUACAUGCAAGUCGAGCGAACAGAUGAGGAGCUUGCUCCUCUGACGUUAGCGGCGGACGGGUGAGUAACACGUGGAUAACCUACCUAUAAGACUGGGAUAACUUCGUGAAACCGGAGCUAAUACCGGAUAAUAUAUUGAACCGCAUGGUUCAAUAGUGAAAGACGGUUUUGCUGUCACUUAUAGAUGGAUCCGCGCCGCAUUAGCUAGUUGGUAAGGUAACGGCUUACCAAGGCGACGAUGCGUAGCCGACCUGAGAGGGUGAUCGGCCACACUGGAACUGAGACACGGUCCAGACUCCUACGGGAGGCAGCAGUAGGGAAUCUUCCGCAAUGGGCGAAAGCCUGACGGAGCAACGCCGCGUGAGUGAUGAAGGUCUUCGGAUCGUAAAACUCUGUUAUUAGGGAAGAACAAAUGUGUAAGUAACUAUGCACGUCUUGACGGUACCUAAUCAGAAAGCCACGGCUAACUACGUG